This 253-nucleotide ribosomal RNA is filed under the name uncultured bacterium. RNAcentral describes it as "partial 16S ribosomal RNA". It matches the Rfam family "Bacterial small subunit ribosomal RNA", at positions 524 to 776 of the family's 1533-position model. The record is from RNAcentral.
UACAGAGGUCUCAAGCGUUGUUCGGAUUCAUUGGGCGUAAAGGGCGCGUAGGCGGCGCCGCAAGUCGACUGUGAAAUCUCCGGGCUUAACCCGGAAAGGUCAGCCGAUACUGCGGGGCUAGAGUGCAGAAGGGGCAACUGGAAUUCUCGGUGUAGCGGUGAAAUGCGUAGAUAUGCGGAGGAACACCGAUGGCGAAGGCAAUCCCCUGGGCCUGCACUGACGCUCAUGCACGAAAGCGUGGGGAGCAAACAGG